Molecule: ribosomal RNA, 138 nt
Filed under: uncultured eukaryote
Lineage: Eukaryota
Description: partial 18S ribosomal RNA
Rfam family: Eukaryotic small subunit ribosomal RNA
Source: RNAcentral
UGGUGGAGCGAUUUGUCUGGCUAAUUCCGAUAACGAACGAGACUCUGGCCUAUUAAAUAGUUCGCCGAUUCCGAUCUGUCGGCGUUAACUUCUUAGAGGGACAAGUGGCUUUUAGCCACGCGAGAUUGAGCAAUAACA